CGAGGCGAACCGGGGGAACUGAAACAUCUAAGUACCCCGAGGAAAAGAAAUCAACCGAGAUUCCCCCAGUAGCGGCGAGCGAACGGGGAGCAGCCCAGAGUCUGAAUCAGCUUGUGUGUUAGUGGAACGGUCUGGAAAGUCCGACGGUACAGGGUGAUAGUCCCGUACACCAAAAUGCACAGGUUGUGAACUCGAAGAGUAGGGCGGGACACGUGGUAUCCUGUCUGAAUAUGGGGGGACCAUCCUCCAAGGCUAAAUACUCCUGACUGACCGAUAGUGAACCAGUACCGUGAGGGAAAGGCGAAAAGAACCCCGGCGAGGGGAGUGAAAAAGAACCUGAAACCGUGUACGUACAAGCAGUGGGAGCACCUUCGGGUGUGACUGCGUACCUUUUGUAUAAUGGGUCAGCGACUUAUAUUCUGUAGCAAGGUUAACCGUAUAGGGGAGCCGCAGGGAAACCGAGUCUUAACUGGGCGUUAAGUUGCAGGGUAUAGACCCGAAACCCGGUGAUCUAGCCAUGGGCAGGUUGAAGGUUGGGUAACACUAACUGGAGGACCGAACCGACUAAUGUUGAAAAAUUAGCGGAUGACUUGUGGCUGGGGGUGAAAGGCCAAUCAAACCGGGAGAUAGCUGGUUCUCCCCGAAAGCUAUUUAGGUAGCGCCUCGUGAACUCAUCUUCGGGGGUAGAGCACUGUUUCGGCUAGGGGGUCAUCCCGACUUACCAACCCGAUGCAAACUACGAAUACCGAAGAAUGUUAUCACGGGAGACACACGGCGGGUGCUAACGUCCGUCGUGAAGAGGGAAACAACCCAGACCGCCAGCUAAGGUCCCAAAGUCAUGGUUAAGUGGGAAACGAUGUGGGAAGGCACAGACAGCCAGGAUGUUGGCUUAGAAGCAGCCAUCAUUUAAAGAAAGCGUAAUAGCUCACUGGUCGAGUCGGCCUGCGCGGAAGAUGUAACGGGGCUAAACCAUGCACCGAAGCUGCGGCAGCGACACUAUGUGUUGUUGGGUAGGGGAGCGUUCUGUAAGCCUGCGAAGGUGUGCUGUGAGGCAUGCUGGAGGUAUCAGAAGUGCGAAUGCUGACAUAAGUAACGAUAAAGCGGGUGAAAAGCCCGCUCGCCGGAAGACCAAGGGUUCCUGUCCAACGUUAAUCGGGGCAGGGUGAGUCGACCCCUAAGGCGAGGCCGAAAGGCGUAGUCGAUGGGAAACAGGUUAAUAUUCCUGUACUUGGUGUUACUGCGAAGGGGGGACGGAGAAGGCUAUGUUAGCCGGGCGACGGUUGUCCCGGUUUAAGCAUGUAGGCUGGUUAUCCAGGCAAAUCCGGAUAAUCAAGGCUGAGGUGUGAUGACGAGGCACUACGGUGCUGAAGUAACAAAUGCCCUGCUUCCAGGAAAAGCCUCUAAGCAUCAGGUAACAUCAAAUCGUACCCCAAACCGACACAGGUGGUCAGGUAGAGAAUACCAAGGCGCUUGAGAGAACUCGGGUGAAGGAACUAGGCAAAAUGGUGCCGUAACUUCGGGAGAAGGCACGCUGGUGUGUAGGUGAAGUCCCUGCGGAUGGAGCUGAGACCAGUCGAAGAUACCAGCUGGCUGCAACUGUUUAUUAAAAACACAGCACUGUGCAAACACGAAAGUGGACGUAUACGGUGUGACGCCUGCCCGGUGCCGGAAGGUUAAUUGAUGGGGUUAUCCGUAAGGAGAAGCUCUUGAUCGAAGCCCCGGUAAACGGCGGCCGUAACUAUAACGGUCCUAAGGUAGCGAAAUUCCUUGUCGGGUAAGUUCCGACCUGCACGAAUGGCGUAAUGAUGGCCAGGCUGUCUCCACCCGAGACUCAGUGAAAUUGAACUCGCUGUGAAGAUGCAGUGUACCCGCGGCAAGACGGAAAGACCCCGUGAACCUUUACUAUAGCUUGACACUGAACAUUGAGCCUUGAUGUGUAGGAUAGGUGGGAGGCUUUGAAGCGUGGACGCCAGUCUGCGUGGAGCCAACCUUGAAAUACCACCCUUUAAUGUUUGAUGUUCUAACGUUGGCCCCUUACCGGGGUUGCGGACAGUGUCUGGUGGGUAGUUUGACUGGGGCGGUCUCCUCCCAAAGCGUAACGGAGGAGCACGAAGGUUAGCUAAUCCUGGUCGGACAUCAGGAGGUUAGUGCAAUGGCAUAAGCUAGCUUGACUGCGAGCGUGACGGCGCGAGCAGGUGCGAAAGCAGGUCAUAGUGAUCCGGUGGUUCUGAAUGGAAGGGCCAUCGCUCAACGGAUAAAAGGUACUCCGGGGAUAACAGGCUGAUACCGCCCAAGAGUUCAUAUCGACGGCGGUGUUUGGCACCUCGAUGUCGGCUCAUCACAUCCUGGGGCUGAAGUAGGUCCCAAGGGUAUGGCUGUUCGCCAUUUAAAGUGGUACGCGAGCUGGGUUUAGAACGUCGUGAGACAGUUCGGUCCCUAUCUGCCGUGGGCGCUGGAGAAUUGAGGGGGGCUGCUCCUAGUACGAGAGGACCGGAGUGGACGCAUCACUGGUGUUCGGGUUGUCAUGCCAAUGGCACUGCCCGGUAGCUAAAUGCGGAAGAGAUAAGUGCUGAAAGCAUCUAAGCACGAAACUUGCCCCGAGAUGAGUUCUCCCUGAGACUAUAAGUCUCCUGAAGGAACGUUAAAGACGAUGACGUUGAUAGGCCGGGUGUGUAAGCGCAGCGAUGCGUUGAGCUAACCGGUACUAAUGAACCGUGAGGCUUAACCUU
Molecule: ribosomal RNA, 2729 nt
Filed under: Klebsiella pneumoniae
Lineage: Bacteria; Pseudomonadati; Pseudomonadota; Gammaproteobacteria; Enterobacterales; Enterobacteriaceae
Description: bacterial LSU rRNA
Rfam family: Bacterial large subunit ribosomal RNA
Source: RNAcentral